UGGCGACCGUGGAGCGGCCUUCUUAUGGCUCCAUUUGUCAUGUGACCAAUGUGGUAUCAUUAUCGCCGCACUAGUUGGUUUCUGAUAUGUGUCGGUGGUUACGGUAGUGCCUUCCACUUUUCCUCCGCUCUACAGUCGCUGGUGCGCGGGGCGAUUGCCCAUUGUACUGGGGAGGACGGCUUCGGCGCGGAAGUAUCACGGAUGGGCCGGGCGGCAGCCGGACAUGGUUGUGGGAGGACCUUGGUGUGCAGGCUCCUUGAUGAAGAGAGGCGUGGGAUCAACACCUCGACAGCCGCAGUUGACGGACAAAGUGAUGCGACGG
This 322-nucleotide long non-coding RNA is filed under the name Androctonus crassicauda. Lineage: Eukaryota; Metazoa; Arthropoda; Arachnida; Scorpiones; Buthidae. The record is from RNAcentral.